RNAcentral lists this ribosomal RNA (495 nucleotides) under uncultured bacterium. RNAcentral describes it as "partial 16S ribosomal RNA". It matches the Rfam family "Bacterial small subunit ribosomal RNA", at positions 28 to 507 of the family's 1533-position model. The record is from RNAcentral.
GACGAACGCUGGCGGCGUGCCUAAUACAUGCAAGUAGAACGCUGAAGGAGGAGCUUGCUUCUCUGGAUGAGUUGCGAACGGGUGAGUAACGCGUAGGUAACCUGCCUGGUAGCGGGGGAUAACUAUUGGAAACGAUAGCUAAUACCGCAUAAUAGCAGUUGUUGCAUGACAACUGUUUGAAAGGUGCAAUUGCACCACUACCAGAUGGACCUGCGUUGUAUUAGCUAGUUGGUGGGGUAACGGCUCACCAAGGCGACGAUACAUAGCCGACCUGAGAGGGUGAUCGGCCACACUGGGACUGAGACACGGCCCAGACUCCUACGGGAGGCAGCAGUAGGGAAUCUUCGGCAAUGGACGGAAGUCUGACCGAGCAACGCCGCGGGAGUGAAGAAGGUUGUCGGAUCGUAAAGCUCUGUUGUAAGAGAAGAACGAGUGUGAGAGUGGAAAGUUCACACUGUGACGGUAGCUUACCAGAAAGGGACGGCUAACUACGUG